This 251-nucleotide ribosomal RNA is filed under the name uncultured prokaryote. RNAcentral's name for it is "partial 16S rRNA". It matches the Rfam family "Bacterial small subunit ribosomal RNA", at positions 525 to 775 of the family's 1533-position model. The record is from RNAcentral.
ACGAAGGUUGCUAGCGUUGUUCGGAAUCACUGGGCUUAAAGAGCACGUAGGCGGCUCAUCAAGUGCCUUGUGAAAUCCCCGGGCUCAACCCGGGAAUUGCUUGGCAUACUGUUGGGCUUGAGGCAAGUAGAGGCGCGCGGAACUCUUGGUGGAGCGGUGGAAUGCGUAGAUAUCAAGAGGAACGCCGGUGGCGAAAGCGGCGCGCUGGGCUUGUCCUGACGCUGAGGUGCGAAAGCCAGGGGAGCAAACGG